GUGCCUGGAUUUGGAAAAAUUGUAUAUGGGCUUGACUGGGCUCUUAGCUUGACUGACUUGCAGAGCUAAUCUCAAAUUUGCCGGCAGUUUGUCAGGGUUUUCUCAGGCUAUAAGAGAGCACCAAGGAGAG
This is a long non-coding RNA of Etheostoma spectabile (orangethroat darter), 130 nucleotides long. RefSeq lists it as uncharacterized. The transcript has 3 exons. The record is from RefSeq and is a predicted model, not a curated record. Lineage: Eukaryota; Metazoa; Chordata; Actinopteri; Perciformes; Percidae.